UUUGGCAAAACAUAUACUUUAAAAAAAUUGAAACCAUAUGGAGAAGAUCAGCAUGGCCCACCUGCGCAAGGAUGACAUGGAAAUUUGUGAAGCGUUCCAUAAAGGA
Small nuclear RNA from Choloepus didactylus (southern two-toed sloth), 106 nucleotides. The record is from RefSeq and is a predicted model, not a curated record. NCBI's taxonomy places the organism in Eukaryota, Metazoa, Chordata, Mammalia, Pilosa, Megalonychidae.